This 347-nucleotide ribosomal RNA is filed under the name uncultured bacterium. RNAcentral describes it as "bacterial SSU rRNA". It matches the Rfam family "Bacterial small subunit ribosomal RNA", at positions 8 to 350 of the family's 1533-position model. The record is from RNAcentral.
AGAGUUUGAUCAUGGCUCAGGAUGAACGCUAGCUACAGGCUUAACACAUGCAAGUCGAGGGGCAGCGGGAUUGAAGCUUGCUUCAAUUGCCGGCGACCGGCGCACGGGUGAGUAACGCGUAUCCAACCUUCCGUACACUCAGGGAUAGCCUUUCGAAAGAAAGAUUAAUACCUGAUGGUAUGAUGAAAUUGCAUGAUAGCAUCAUUAAAGAUUUAUCGGUGUACGAUGGGGAUGCGUUCAUUAGGUAGUAGGCGGGUAACGGCCACCUAGCCUACGAUGGAUAGGGGUUCUGAGAGGAAGGUCCCCACAUUGGAACUGAGACACGGUCCAAACUCCUACGAGAGGCA